Molecule: ribosomal RNA, 292 nt
Filed under: uncultured bacterium
Lineage: Bacteria
Description: partial 16S ribosomal RNA
Rfam family: Archaeal small subunit ribosomal RNA
Source: RNAcentral
GUGCCAGCAGCCGCGGUAAUACCAGCACCCCGAGUUGUCGGGACGAUUAUUGGGCCUAAAGCAUCCGUAGCCUGUUCUACAAGUCCUCCGUUAAAUCCACCUGCUCAACAGAUGGGCUGCGGGGGAUACUAUAGGGCUAGGAGGCGGGAGAGGCAAACGGUACUCAGUGGGUAGGGGUAAAAUCCAUUGAUCUACUGAAGACCACCAGUGGCGAAGGCGGUUUGCCAGAACGCGCUCGACGGUGAGGGAUGAAAGCUGGGGGAGCAAACCGGAUUAGAUACCCCCGUAGUCC